UUGACCUCGGAUCAGGUAGGGAUACCCGCUGACUU
RNAcentral lists this ribosomal RNA (35 nucleotides) under Rhizoplaca chrysoleuca. RNAcentral's name for it is "partial 26S ribosomal RNA". The record is from RNAcentral. Lineage: Eukaryota; Fungi; Ascomycota; Lecanoromycetes; Lecanorales; Lecanoraceae.